GAUGAACGCUGGCGGCGUGCCUAAUACAUGCAAGUCGAGCGAACAGACGAGGAUCUUUCUCCUCUGACGUUAGCGGCGGACGGGUGAGUAAAACGUGGAUAACCUACCUAUAAGACUGGGAUAACUUCGGGAAACCGGAGCUAAUCCCGGAUAAUAUAUUGAACCGCAUGGUUCAAUAGUGAAAGACGGUUUUGCUGUCACUUAUAGAUGGAUCCGCGCCGCCUUAGCUACUUGUUAUGGUAGCGGCGUACCAAGGCAACGAUGCGUAGCCGACGUGAGAGGGGGAUCGGCCACACUGGAACUGAGACGCGGUCCAGACUCCUACGGGAGGCAGCAGUAGGGAAUCUUCCGGAAUGGGCGAAAGCCUGAUGGAGCAACGCCGCGUGAGUGAUGAAGGUCUUCGUAUCGUAAAACUCUGUUAUUAGGGAAGAACAAAUGUGUAAGUAACUAGGCACGUCUUGACGUUACCUAAUCAGAAAGCCACGGCUAACUACGUG
Molecule: ribosomal RNA, 497 nt
Filed under: uncultured bacterium
Lineage: Bacteria
Description: partial 16S ribosomal RNA
Rfam family: Bacterial small subunit ribosomal RNA
Source: RNAcentral